RNAcentral lists this ribosomal RNA (253 nucleotides) under uncultured prokaryote. RNAcentral's name for it is "partial 16S ribosomal RNA". It matches the Rfam family "Bacterial small subunit ribosomal RNA", at positions 525 to 777 of the family's 1533-position model. The record is from RNAcentral.
ACGUAGGAUGCAAGCGUUGUCCGGAAUUAUUGGGCGUAAAGAGCUAGCAGGCGGUUUGGAAAGUUGGACGUGAAAUUUUAGGGCUUAACCCUAAAGGGUCGUCCAAAACUCCCAGACUAGAGUGCAGGAGAGGAAAGCGGAAUUCCCGGUGUAGUGGUGAAAUGCGUAGAUAUCGGGAGGAACACCAGAGGCGAAGGCGGCUUUCUGGCCUGUAACUGACGCUGAGGCGCGAAGGCUGGGGUAGCGAACAGGA